CCUACGGGUGGCAGCAGUGGGGAAUAUUGGGCAAUGGGCGCAAGCCUGACCCAGCAACGCCGCGUGAAGGAAGAAGGCUUUCGGGUUGUAAACUUCUUUUCUCAGGGACGAAGCAAGCGACGGUACCUGAGGAAUAAGCCACGGCUAACUACGGGCCAGCAGCCGCGGUAAUACGUAGGCGGCAAACGUUCUCCGGAUUUACUGGGUGUAAAGGGUGUGUAGGCGGGGACGCAAGUCAGAUGUGAAAACCAUGGGCUCAAACUGUGGCCUGCAUUUGAAACUGUGUUCCUUGAGUACUGGAGAGGCAGACGGAAUUCCUAGUGUAGCGGUGAAAUGCGUAGAUAUUAGGAGGAACACCAGUGGCGAAGGCAGUCUGCUGGACAGCGACUGACGCUGAGGCGCGAAAGCGUGGGGAGCAAACAGGAUUAGAUACCCGAGUAGUC
This 443-nucleotide ribosomal RNA is filed under the name uncultured bacterium. Its description in RNAcentral is "partial 16S ribosomal RNA". It matches the Rfam family "Bacterial small subunit ribosomal RNA", at positions 338 to 795 of the family's 1533-position model. The record is from RNAcentral.